The sequence is a ribosomal RNA, 764 nucleotides long. It matches the Rfam family "Bacterial small subunit ribosomal RNA", at positions 94 to 870 of the family's 1533-position model.
AGUGGCGAACGGGUGAGUAACACGUGAGUAACCUGCCCUUAACUCUGGGAUAAGCCUGGGAAACUGGGUCUAAUACCGGAUAGGAGCGCCUACCGCAUGGUGGGUGUUGGAAAGAUUUAUCGGUUUUGGAUGGACUCGCGGCCUAUCAGCUUGUUGGUGAGGUAAUGGCUCACCAAGGCGACGACGGGUAGCCGGCCUGAGAGGGUGACCGGCCACACUGGGACUGAGACACGGCCCAGACUCCUACGGGAGGCAGCAGUGGGGAAUAUUGCACAAUGGGCGCAAGCCUGAUGCAGCGACGCCGCGUGAGGGAUGACGGCCUUCGGGUUGUAAACCUCUUUCAGUAGGGAAGAAGCGAAAGUGACGGUACCUGCAGAAGAAGCACCGGCUAACUACGUGCCAGCAGCCGCGGUAAUACGUAGGGUGCGAGCGUUAUCCGGAAUUAUUGGGCGUAAAGAGCUCGUAGGCGGUUUGUCGCGUCUGUCGUGAAAGUCCGGGGCUUAACCCCGGAUCUGCGGUGGGUACGGGCAGACUAGAGUGCAGUAGGGGAGACUGGAAUUCCUGGUGUAGCGGUGGAAUGCGCAGAUAUCAGGAGGAACACCGAUGGCGAAGGCAGGUCUCUGGGCUGUAACUGACGCUGAGGAGCGAAAGCAUGGGGAGCGAACAGGAUUAGAUACCCUGGUAGUCCAUGCCGUAAACGUUGGGCACUAGGUGUGGGGACCAUUCCACGGUUUCCGCGCCGCAGCUAACGCAUUAAGUGCCCC